GACGACCCGAGCCACUACAGGGAGUGCGACGGCAAUGAAGCCUCAUCUCCCUCCUUCGCGUCUCUCUCCUCUCCUGGCGACAGCAACAGCGACGACAUUUCUCGCCGGCACCGCACCAUCCCUCUUCUCCGAUUCCCCUUCCCCAGUUCCCUCUGAUUCCUCAACUUCUCUCUCUGUUCUAUUUCAUGAAUGCCGCUGAUUUUGGAAGAGGCAAUAGGAUUAGG
Molecule: non-coding RNA, 224 nt
Organism: Arachis ipaensis
Lineage: Eukaryota; Viridiplantae; Streptophyta; Magnoliopsida; Fabales; Fabaceae
Source: RefSeq, a predicted model, not a curated record